AUGCAUUGGAAAGUUCUCUUAUUUUCAGGGCCAGAUGGGUUUAAUGUUGAAUUUUAUUUGGCGGCCUGGGACUGGAUAGGAGAUGAAGUCACUCAACUUGUCAUUAACUUUUACACUACUGGUAUUUUGCCUCCACAUAUUAAUGACACUAACAUUGCUCUUAUUCCGAAAAGGCUUGUGCCUCAAGUUCCCAUGGACUAUCGCCCUAUUAGCCUUUGUAAUGUUGUUUACAAAAUCAUUGCGAAGUCGCUUGCUAAUAGGAUCAAGCCUCAUCUUCCUGAUUAUAUCGAUCCUGCUCAACAAGCUUUCAUUGAGGGUAGACGUAUUAGUGAUAACAUCAUUAUUGCCCAGGAGAUUGCCCACUCUUUCUCUCUUAAAUCUUGGAAACACAGUGCUUUCAUGCUUAAGAUAGAUCUAGCCAAAGCUUUUGAUCGUCUAGAAUGGAAUUUUAUUGUGUCUGCUCUUGCUCGUAAAGGGCUGCAUGGUCACUUCAUUAAUUUAACUCAUGCAUGUGUUUCUUCUCCUACGUUCUCUGUGCUGAUUAAUGGACAACCCUCUCACAAGUUUAGGAGCUUUCGAGGUAUUCGUCAGGGCUGUCCGAUGUCUCCUUUUUUGUUUGUUAUUGCCAUCAAUGAAUUAUCUAUUGCUCUCAACGAAGCUCUUGCUGCUCAUCAUUUGCAGGGUAUUUCGCUUGGACCAAAUUGCCCUUCUAUCCACUCUUUGUUAUUUGCAGAUGACUUGUUGGUUUGUGGGCAAGCCAGUCUUCAAGAAGCUCGCACUAUGGCUCAUCUUAUUAAUCAUUUUUGUUCUAUCUCAGGUCAAACUCCAAAUUGGGCCAAAUCAGCCAUUCUUUUCAGUUCUCAUGUUCCUCAAGCUAUGAUGCAGGAUAUUAAGCAGAUUUUCCCUGUUUCUAAUCUGGAUAGCAAUUUCACUCAUCUUGGUCAUGCACUUGUUCUUCCUGCAAAAAGAAGAGCUACUGCAUAUAACUUUGUUCUAGACAAAUUUCUGAAUAAGUUGCCCAUUUAUAAAGCUAACAUGCUUUCUCAUGCUGCCAGACUUGAAUUGAUUCGCUCGGUUUUCUUGGCUAUCCCUGUCUAUUACAUGGCUAAUAUCUUGUUUACGAAGAAAUUCAUUGCUAAGCUUACUGCUGUUAUUAGGAAUUUUUGGUGGACAGGUGUUCGAGAAAAUGACUCAAAAAAGAGUCUUUGCCUUAGAGCAUGGAAGGACAUUUGCAAUUCAAAAGAUGAAGGUGGCUUAGGUGUCAGAAAUUUAAAAGCUAUUAAUGAGAGUCUUCUUAUUUCUGCUGCCUGGAGGUUAGCCAAGUUCCCUUGUUCUCACUUGCAUCUUGUACUUAAGGCUAAGUACUUUCAUGAUGCUUCUAUCUGGACAGCUACUGCUAUUUCUCCCAAAUCAGCUUUCUGGGCCUCUAUUUUGAAAUUGUUGCCUAAACUUAAAGCUCAUUCUUUUUAUCAGUUAUCUGAAGGUAAUAUUUCAAUUUGGAGCACACCUUGGUGCACUCUUUGGAGCUCGGUUCAUGAUCAUCUUAUUGCUCAACAACCUGGUUUUAUAUAUCCUUCUUUAGUUAAAGAUCUUUGGCUUCCAGGUCAAAAAAGUUGGAAUCAUGAUCUUGUUUUCUCCCUUUUCCAGCAACCUUUGGCCUCUCUCAUUGUUCAAACUGAAAUUAUUGAUGACGAAAGUCCAGACUUGCUUUGUUGGGAUCUUACCCCUAAUGGAAUUUGUUCUUCUAAAUCUGCAUAUAAACUCUGUUUACAGGAGAUUCAUGCUAAUCCCAGAAAUGCGCCUGCUACUCUUCCUUUGGAUUUGUUAGAUUUUCUCAAAUUAAUUUGGAAACAGAAGGAUUUGCUUCCUAGGGUCAAAACUUUCGCCUGGAGAUUACUUAGAAAGGCCUUGCCUACGGGUUUGCGAGCUGGUCGUUUUUCCAUUCAUAUUUCUAAAAAUUGUUGUCGUUGUGGCCAGCAAGAGGAUGAGUUCCAUCUAUUUUUUCUGUGUAACUUUUCCCGUGCGGCUUGGUUUUCCUCUCCUUGGUUCCUUCAAUCGGAUGCUUUAAUUCAGGGCCAUUCCACUAUGCAUUCUGUUCUUUUUGACUUGCUUCGUAUGGGACAUCCUCAUGAUUCUAUUUCUAGUGUUUUAAAUUUUUUGUGGUGUCUCUGGAAGGCUAGAAAUGAUUUUCUCUUUGAUAGAAAAAAGGCUCUUCCCCACCAAGUUCAUAUUGCAGCUCUUGCUUUAGCUUCUGAUUGUUAUGAUAAUCUUCCAUGUUUACCUUCGAAGCAGGAUCAAGCUCAUAAUCAAUUGCCUCCUAAUCAGCUCCCUAUGCAAGGUAGAACGCUUAAGACAGAUCUGUUAAUUGUUGGCCCUAAGAUCUAUUCUGAUGCUGCUUAUAGGACCAAGAAAGUUCCAGGUUUGUUGCAAGGAGAGGUUGCUAUAGAUGUGGGAGUGUACAUCUCUAUGCCCUUCAACCAGAAGGAAAUUAAUGUGCAAGUUCAAGCUUCGACUUCUCCUACUUCUACUCCUCUACAAGCUGAAGCAUUGGCUCUUUCUUUUGCUGCUCAUCUUGCUUCUCAACUCAAUAUUGCGCAGCCCACUUUUCUUUUGGAUUGUCUUGCUUUAGCUUUGGCUGUUGCCUCAGGUAAUAUUUGUGAUUCUGCCACCCCUUGGAAUAUUAGAAAGUCUUUGGCUAGCUUUUUCAAAUGUACAUCUAAUUUGCAAGCGCACGUGUUUCAUAUUUCUAGAGAAAUCAAUGGUAUUGCUCACAAUCUUGCGCAACAGGUUUUUCGUUCUGAUGGGCACACUCAACUCUCUUGUUUUGCUGCUACUCAUUCUCAAGUUUCUUGUCCUGUGUUGCCCCUUCUUUCAAAUUUCCAGAUUCAGGGUUUUAGAAUUCAUACUAUACAUUGCUACUAA
Molecule: ribosomal RNA, 2922 nt
Filed under: Triticum aestivum (bread wheat)
Lineage: Eukaryota; Viridiplantae; Streptophyta; Magnoliopsida; Poales; Poaceae
Description: partial small subunit ribosomal RNA
Source: RNAcentral